This 72-nucleotide transfer RNA is filed under the name Bos taurus (domestic cattle). It matches the Rfam family "tRNA". Rfam says of the family: Transfer RNA (tRNA) molecules are approximately 80 nucleotides in length. Lineage: Eukaryota; Metazoa; Chordata; Mammalia; Artiodactyla; Bovidae. RNAcentral also lists the same sequence under 5 other names. The record is from Rfam by way of RNAcentral.
UCCCUUGUGGCUUAGUUGGUAAAGAAUCCACCUGCAAUGUGGGAGACCUGGGUUUGAUCCCUGGGUUGGGAA